GACAACCUACGGGAGGCAGCAGUGAGGAAUAUUGGUCAAUGGGCGCGAGCCUGAACCAGCCACGUCGCGUGAGGGAAGACGGUCCUAUGGAUUGUAAACCUCUUUUGUCGGGGAGCAAAAGACGCCACGCGUGGCGUUCCGAGAGUACCCGAAGAAAAAGCAUCGGCUAACUCCGUGCCAGCAGCCGCGGUAAUACGGAGGAUGCGAGCGUUAUCCGGAUUUAUUGGGUUUAAAGGGUGCGCAGGCGGAAGAUCAAGUCAGCGGUAAACUUGAGAGGCCCAACCUCUU
This 288-nucleotide ribosomal RNA is filed under the name uncultured bacterium. RNAcentral describes it as "partial 16S ribosomal RNA". It matches the Rfam family "Bacterial small subunit ribosomal RNA", at positions 334 to 618 of the family's 1533-position model. The record is from RNAcentral.